This 28-nucleotide non-coding RNA is filed under the name Homo sapiens (human). Lineage: Eukaryota; Metazoa; Chordata; Mammalia; Primates; Hominidae. The record is from RNAcentral.
UACUCAGUGUCUCUCAUUACUUACGACC